Molecule: non-coding RNA, 729 nt
Organism: Zootermopsis nevadensis
Lineage: Eukaryota; Metazoa; Arthropoda; Insecta; Blattodea; Termopsidae
Source: RefSeq, a predicted model, not a curated record
AUAUAGCUUUGAAGGUUUAAUUGAAUCAUACACCUGUACAGAGGGCGAACAGAGGUUUAUGACGUCACUAUCUCGUUGCCCUGUUUGCCUUCUCGUUUAUCCCGAGACAUCAUGUGAGCCUACCACCAUUAGAGACGUCUGCUGCUGUAUUGUGGGUGAUGGCGGUUUUACAAUGAUUCUUUUAUGCAUUUAUGCAUGUUAUUAGCCGGAGUGAACCAGUGUGAUUCAACUGUGGGCUAUUUGUUAUACGAAUUCUUUGAAGUCAGGUUGAAUUUCCAACAAAAUUGCAGUGGUUUGUGUUAUUCCUUUCCAUGAAGAACCAUCCUGAACAGAUAAAUAGUCUGAACCUGUUCUACGUAGUAGAUUUCUGACUCGAUUUAGAAGGCUAGACGAGUUCCUCCGGCCUUCGUUUAUUUCGCCGUAGACCACCAAACGAACUGACGUCCGGUCGGAGUCUUGAGUCGACAGUUUCAUAUAGCGAUAAGGUUCUCAUGCUGAAGAUGACUUGUCUUCUGUGUCGCAGCGCAGAGUUCUAACCGCUAGACCACCGUGGCGACCCUAAUCGCAUUUUGAGCCACAGGAAGGGCAGUCCAGUCGUGACAAUUAUCCGACGUCGUUACUGGCAGCCAAUUUCGGUAUCUGCUGACUGUGCUGUGCUUAAGGUAUGUCCACUUCUGACUUUUAUUCCGAUUUAACACUGUCAGCAUCUCUCUCUCUCUCUCUCUCUCU